This 353-nucleotide unclassified non-coding RNA is filed under the name soil metagenome. Its description in RNAcentral is "partial contains 5.8S ribosomal RNA, internal transcribed spacer 2, and large subunit ribosomal RNA". The stretch from base 1 to 120 matches the Rfam family "5.8S ribosomal RNA", at positions 35 to 154 of the family's 154-position model. The record is from RNAcentral.
GAUGAAGAACGUAGCGAAAUGCGAUAAGUAAUGUGAAUUGCAGAAUUCAGUGAAUCAUCGAAUCUUUGAACGCACAUUGCGCCCGCCAGUAUUCUGGCGGGCAUGCCUGUUCGAGCGUCAUUACAACCCUCAGGCCCCCGGGCCUGGCGUUGGGGAUCGCCGGAAGCCCCCUGCGGGCACAACGCCGUCCCCCAAAUACAGUGGCGGUCCCGCCGCAGCUUCCAUUGCGUAGUAGCUAACACCUCGCAACUGGAGAGCGGCGCGGCCACGCCGUAAAACACCCAACUUCCGAAUGUUGACCUCGAAUCAGGUAGGAAUACCCGCUGAACUUAAGCAUAUCAAUAAGCGGAGGA